Molecule: non-coding RNA, 73 nt
Organism: Ixodes scapularis (black-legged tick)
Lineage: Eukaryota; Metazoa; Arthropoda; Arachnida; Ixodida; Ixodidae
Source: Rfam
GCCCUUCUAGCUCAAUCUGUAAAGCUCGAGACUCUUAAUCUUGGGAUCGUGGGUUCGGGCCCUACGUAGGGUG